This 253-nucleotide ribosomal RNA is filed under the name uncultured bacterium. RNAcentral's name for it is "partial 16S ribosomal RNA". It matches the Rfam family "Bacterial small subunit ribosomal RNA", at positions 524 to 776 of the family's 1533-position model. The record is from RNAcentral.
UACGGGGGGGGCAAGCGUUGUUCGGAAUUACUGGGCGUAAAGGGUCUGUAGGUGGCUUGCUAAGUCAGACGUGAAAUCCCUCGGCUUAACCGGGGAACUGCGUCUGAUACUGGAUGGCUAGAGGUUGGGAGAGGGAUGCGGAAUUCCAGGUGUAGCGGUGAAAUGCGCAGAUAUCAGGAAGAACACCCGUGGCGAAGGCGGCUCUCUGGGACGGUACUGACGCUGAGACGCGAAAGCGUGGGGAGCGAACAGG